RNAcentral lists this transfer RNA (85 nucleotides) under Gloeobacterales cyanobacterium ES-bin-313. It matches the Rfam family "tRNA". Rfam says of the family: Transfer RNA (tRNA) molecules are approximately 80 nucleotides in length. Their secondary structure includes four short double-helical elements and three loops (D, anti-codon, and T loops). Lineage: Bacteria; Bacillati; Cyanobacteriota; Cyanophyceae; Gloeobacterales. The record is from Rfam by way of RNAcentral.
GGAGAGGUGGUAGAGCGGUUUAUUGCGUCGGUCUUGAAAACCGAAGAUGGGCGACCAUCCGUGAGUUCGAAUCUCACCCUCUCCG